AAAACGACUCUCGGCAACGGAUAUCUAGGCUCUCGCAUCGAUGAAGAACGUAGCUGAUAGCGAUACUUGGUGUGAAUUGCAGAAUCCCGCGAAUCAUCGAGUUUUUGAACGCAAGUUGCGCCCGAAGCCUUUCGGCCGAGGGCACGUCUGCCUGGGUGUCACGC
Molecule: ribosomal RNA, 164 nt
Filed under: Quercus sp. A96.0684
Lineage: Eukaryota; Viridiplantae; Streptophyta; Magnoliopsida; Fagales; Fagaceae
Description: 5.8S ribosomal RNA
Rfam family: 5.8S ribosomal RNA
About the family: 5.8S ribosomal RNA (5.8S rRNA) is a component of the large subunit of the eukaryotic ribosome. It is transcribed by RNA polymerase I as part of the 45S precursor that also contains 18S and 28S rRNA.
Source: RNAcentral